UUUGUCUUGACAGAUAAGUGUAAUAAAUUUAGAUUUUAUAAAUACAUAUAUUAAAUAUGUAGACAAAU
RNAcentral lists this transfer RNA (68 nucleotides) under Auplopus sp. SJW-2017. RNAcentral describes it as "tRNA-Leu". The record is from RNAcentral. Lineage: Eukaryota; Metazoa; Arthropoda; Insecta; Hymenoptera; Pompilidae.